UGCCAGACUCCUACGGGAGGCAGCAGUGGGGAAUAUUGCACAAUGGGGGAAACCCUGAUGCAGCGACGCCGCGUGAGCGAUGAAGUAUUUCGGUAUGUAAAGCUCUAUCAGCAGGGAAGAAGAUGACGGUACCUGACUAAGAAGCCCCGGCUAACUACGUGCCAGCAGCCGCGGUAAUACGUAGGGGGCAAGCGUUAUCCGGAUUUACUGGGUGUAAAGGGAGCGUAGACGGCGAUGCAAGCCAGAUGUGAAAGCCCGGGGCUCAACCCCGGGACUGCAUUUGGAACUGUGUGGCCGGAGUGUCGGAGAGGCAGGCGGAAUUCCUAGUGUAGCGGUGAAAUGCGUAGAUAUUAGGAGGAACACCGGUGGCGAAGGCGGCCUGCUGGACUGUGACUGACGUUGAGGCCCGAAGGCGUGGGGAGCAAACAGGAUUAGAUACCCGAGUA
Molecule: ribosomal RNA, 446 nt
Filed under: uncultured bacterium
Lineage: Bacteria
Description: bacterial SSU rRNA
Rfam family: Bacterial small subunit ribosomal RNA
Source: RNAcentral